Molecule: ribosomal RNA, 272 nt
Filed under: uncultured bacterium
Lineage: Bacteria
Description: partial 16S ribosomal RNA
Rfam family: Bacterial small subunit ribosomal RNA
Source: RNAcentral
UACAGAGGUCCCCAAGCGUUGUUCGGAUUCACUGGGCGUAAAGGGUGCGUAGGUGGCGGGGCAAGUUUGAUGUGAAAUCUCCGAGCUCAACUCGGAAACGGCAUUAAAUACUGCUUUGCUUGAAGGUCGGAGGGGAGACUGGAAUUCUCGGUGUAGCGGUGAAAUGCGUAGAUAUCGAGAGGAACACCGGUGGCGAAAGCGAGUCUCUGGACGAUUCUUGACACUGAGGCACGAAAGCUAGGGGAGCAAACAGGAUUAGAUACCCGUGUAGU